RNAcentral lists this long non-coding RNA (1063 nucleotides) under Salmo salar (Atlantic salmon). Its description in RNAcentral is "lncRNA (ENSSSAG00000094073.1)". The record is from RNAcentral. Lineage: Eukaryota; Metazoa; Chordata; Actinopteri; Salmoniformes; Salmonidae.
AGGAGUUGUACUGGUAAUAUGUUAGUAUGUUAUAGGUAGGAGUUGUACUAGUAAUAUGUUAGUAUGUUAUAGGUAGGAGUUGUACCUGCCUGGUAAUAUGUUAGUAUGUUAUAGCUAGGAGUUGUACUAGUAAUAUGUUAGUAUGUUAUAGGUAGGAGUUGUACCUGCCUGGUAAUAUGUUAGUAUGUUUUAGGUAGGAGUUGUACUGGUAAUAUGUUAGUAUGUUAUAGGUAGGAGUUGUACUGGUAUUAUGUUAGUAUGUUAUAGGUAGGAGUUGUAUUGGUAAUAUGUUAGUAUGUUAUAAGUAGGAGUUGUACUAGUAAUAUCUUAGUAUGUUAUAGGUAGGAGUUGUACUGGUAAUAUGUUAGUAUGUUAUAGGUAGGAGUUGUACUGGUAAUAUGUUAGUAUGUUAUAGGUAGGAGUUGUACUGGUAAUAUGUUAGUAUGUUUUAAGUAGGAGUUGUACUAGUAAUAUGUUAGUAUGUUAUAGGUAGGAGUUGUACUGGUAAUAUGUUAGUAUGUUAUAGAUUAGAGUUUUACUGGUAAUAUGUUAGUAUGUUUUAGGUAGGAGUUGUACUGGUAAUAUGUUAGUAUGUUAUAGGUAGGAGUUGUACUGGUAAUAUGACAGUAUGUUAUAGGUAGGAGUUGAACUAGUAAUAUGUUAGUAUGUUAUAGGUAGGAGUUGUACCUGCCUGGUAAUAUGUUAGUAUGUUUUAGGUAGGAGUUGUACUGGUAAUAUGUUAGUAUGUUAUAGGUAGGAGUUGUACUGGUAAUAUGUUAGUAUGUUUUAGGUAUAAGUUGUACCUGCCUGGUAAUAUGUUAGUAUGUUAUAGGUAGGAGUUGUACUGGUAAUAUGUUAGUAUGUUAUAGGUAGGAGUUGUACCAGCCUGGUAAUAUGUUAGUAUGUUAUAGGCAGGAGUUGUACCUGCCUGGUAAUAUUUUAGUAUGUUUUAGGUAGGAGUUGUACUGGUAAUAUGUUAGUAUGUUAUAGGUAGGAGUUGUACCUGCCUGGUAAUAUGUUAGUAUGUUAUAGGUAGGAGUUGUACUGGUAAUAUGUUAGUAUG